GGGGGUACGCUAAUGACGCGGUAGCUUUGUCGUCGUUGUCCGGGUCCUAAACCACAAGCUCCUCUGGUUCUCUCGAUCAGCGAGAGAUUGCUUAUGAAGAUAUCAAAUUCAACGUGGAUAACUCUCUUGUGUGGACCGAUAUAACUCCACCUCCAACAGUAAAAGGCUAUGACCACUAGUGCAAAACCGCUGUUUAACAUCACCCAUAAGACGUCGGUUAAAGGGU
Molecule: long non-coding RNA, 226 nt
Filed under: Vigna radiata
Lineage: Eukaryota; Viridiplantae; Streptophyta; Magnoliopsida; Fabales; Fabaceae
Description: long non-coding RNA (VRAD_LNC008357)
Source: RNAcentral